This 96-nucleotide transfer RNA is filed under the name Acidobacteriota bacterium. Its description in RNAcentral is "tRNA-Sec". It matches the Rfam family "Selenocysteine transfer RNA". The record is from RNAcentral. Lineage: Bacteria; Pseudomonadati; Acidobacteriota.
GGAAGCGACCGGGGCCCGGUGGCCCUCCCGGUCUUCAAAAUCGGCGCUGCCUGCCAACGCGGGCGGGAUAGGUUCGACUCCUAUACGCUUCCGCCA